Molecule: RNA transcript, 1087 nt
Organism: Ziziphus jujuba (common jujube)
Lineage: Eukaryota; Viridiplantae; Streptophyta; Magnoliopsida; Rosales; Rhamnaceae
Gene name: chaperone protein dnaJ 15-like
Exons: 7
Source: RefSeq, a predicted model, not a curated record
UUAGGAGCCCUCUGUUUCCUUUCAUGAAUCGGCCGGAUUGUAAGCGUAGAGACUGCACGUUUUGAAGGAGAUGGUGAAGAGGCAACUCAGAGAGAAAACUGCAGGAUUUUAGAGAGCCCUAGGAGCAGAAGCAGAAGCAACAGGCAUUUCUUGCUGAGAGAUAUGUAUGAUGAUAUGAUGCUGGAUGGAGUACAGCCAACUAGGGAUACAUUCCAUUCUGUCAUCAGUUAGUGGAAAGGUGGAUAAGCAAAAUGCUCAUUUCUUUGGUGUUACGAUCAACGAGCAACAAGCCAAGUGUGGUAUUGUAGUAAGAGUUACUUCAAAUGCACAAAGCAAAUUUAAGUUACUUUAUUUCGAGCAAGAUGUGAAUGGCGGUUAUGGUUUGGCCCUACAGAAUGUAUGCAGAAGAAAGAAGUUACUACUUUUUCUCUAGGUGAUUGAUGAAAUAGAUGGAGCUCUUGGUGAUGGCAAAGGUGCUGUGGAGGUUAUUCUAAAGAUGAUAAGAAGGCUCUCUAAAACCUUGCAGUUUUCUAUCUGAGUCGCCUCUUCACCAUCUCCUUCAAAACGCGCAGUCUCCACGCUUACAAUCCGGCCGAUGCGAAAGGAAACAGAGGGCUCCUAAGGUCUGGUUAUGGAUAAAGAGAUGGCGGGGAAACGUCGAAGAAAGGAAAGAAAAAAACAUAUAAAAAAAAAACAUAAGGGUAUUUCGUUUCGUUUUCAUGAUUCCCUGGAAAAUGGGUUCAUAUAUUUGUUCAACCAACAGUUAAUCGUGUUGUCAGCAGGUGAUCCUUGACUACCAUGGCUGAUGUUUAAUUGCUGUGACAAUUUCAAGCCUUUCCAUUUCUGAUGGGGAACAUUGGGUCAAGUCGGGAUUGAUACCAACAGAGGCUUUUGUAGGAGCUAUAAUAUUAUCUAGGAGCUGUAAUAUUCUCUAGGAGGUGUAAUAUUCUCUUGUUUUUAUUCAUAAAACACUUGUACAAUUUCCUCUUGCUAAUUCAGAUUUUGUUUUUAGUUUUUGUACUUGAUUCUCGUGUCAAUAUGAUGUGUAAGGAUCCAAUUUCAUUAUUAAAUUAUCCAUAUUAUUUGA